ACUCAGCUGACGAGUCCUAGAUAGGGCGAUAUGCGCAUCCUGAAU
Molecule: non-coding RNA, 45 nt
Filed under: Trichobilharzia regenti
Lineage: Eukaryota; Metazoa; Platyhelminthes; Trematoda; Strigeidida; Schistosomatidae
Source: RNAcentral